Molecule: ribosomal RNA, 496 nt
Filed under: uncultured bacterium
Lineage: Bacteria
Description: partial 16S ribosomal RNA
Rfam family: Bacterial small subunit ribosomal RNA
Source: RNAcentral
GAUGAACGCUGGCGGCGUGCCUAAUACAUGCAAGUCGAGCGAACAGAUGAGGAGCUUGCUCCUCUGACGUUAGCGGCGGACGGGUGAGUAACACGUGGAUAACCUACCUAUAAGACUGGGAUAACUUCGGGAAACCGGAGCUAAUACCGGAUAAUAUAUUGAACCGCAUGGUUCAAUAGUGAAAGACGGUUUUGCUGUCACUUAUAGAUGGAUCCGCGCCGCAUUAGCUAGUUGGUAAGGUAACGGCUUACCAAGGCAACGAUGCGUAGCCGACCUGAGAGGGUGAUCGGCCACACUGGAACUGAGACACGGUCCAGACUCCUACGGGAGGCAGCAGUAGGGAAUCUUCCGCAAUGGGCGAAAGCCUGACGGAGCAACGCCGCGUGAGUGAUGAAGGUCUUCGGAUCGUAAAACUCUGUUAUUAGGGAAGAACAAAUGUGUAAGUAACUAUGCACGUCUUGACGGUACCUAAUCAGGAAGCCACGGCUAACUACGU